AACGAACGCUGGCGGCAUGCCUAACACAUGCAAGUCGAACGAUUGCCUUCGGGUGAUAGUGGCGCACGGGUGCGUAACGCGUGGGAAUCUGCCCUUAGGUUCGGAAUAACAGCUGGAAACGGCUGCUAAUACCGGAUGAUAUCGCGAGAUCAAAGAUUUAUCGCCUGAGGAUGAGCCCGCGUUGGAUUAGGUAGUUGGUGGGGUAAAGGCCUACCAAGCCGACGAUCCAUAGCUGGUCUGAGAGGAUGAUCAGCCACACUGGGACUGAGACACGGCCCAGACUCCUACGGGAUGCAGCAGUGGGGAAUAUUGGACAAUGGGCGCAAGCCUGAUCCAGCAAUGCCGCGUGAGUGAUGAAGGCCCUAGGGUUGUAAAGCUCUUUUACCCGGGAAGAUAAUGACUGUACCGGGAGAAUAAGCCCCGGCUAACUCCGUG
RNAcentral lists this ribosomal RNA (435 nucleotides) under uncultured bacterium. RNAcentral's name for it is "partial 16S ribosomal RNA". It matches the Rfam family "Bacterial small subunit ribosomal RNA", at positions 29 to 507 of the family's 1533-position model. The record is from RNAcentral.